UUCCGGUUGAUCCUGCCGGACCUUACUGCUAUCGGGGUGGGACUAAGACAUGCGAGUCGAGCGUCUCUAGCUAUGUUGAGACGCGGCAGACGGCUCAGUAACACGUGGCUAACCUACCCUCAGGACAAGGAUAAACCCGGGAAACUGGGGCUAAUACUUGAUAGGCGAAGAUGCCUGGAAUGGUUUUUCACCUAAAGGGCUUUAGAAACAUGCUUCUAAAGUCGCCUGAGGAUGGGGCCGCGUCCGAUCAGGUUGUUGGUGAGGUAACGGCUCACCAAGCCUAUAACCGGUACGGGCCGUGAGAGCGGUAGCCCGGAGAUGGGUACUGAGACAAGGACCCAGGCCCUACGGGGCGCAGCAGUCGCGAAAACUCCGCAAUGCACGAAAGUGUGACGGGGCUACCCCGAGUGCCAUCCGCUGAGGAUGGCUUUUCUUUGGUAUAACUAGCCAGGGGAAUAAGGAGAGGGCAAGACUGGUGUCAGCCGCCGCGGUAAUACCAGCUCUCCGAGUGGUAGGGAUGAUUAUUGGGCUUAAAGCGUCCGUAGCCGGCUUAGCAAGUCUCCUGUUAAACUCAGCGACCUAAUCGUUGAAUCGCGGGAGAUACUACUAGGCUAGGAGGCGGGAGAGGUCGACGGUACUUCUGGGGUAGGGGUGAAAUCCUAUAAUCCCGGGAGGACCACCAGUGGCGAAGGCUGUCGACUAGAACGCGCUCGACGGUGAGGGACGAGAGCUGGGGGAGCGAACCGGAUUAGAUACCCGGGUAGUCCCAGCCGUAAACGAUGCGGGCUAGGUGUUGGAAUGGCUACGUGCCAUUUCAGUGCCGCAGGGAAGCCAUUAAGCCCGCCGCCUGGGGAGUACGGCCGCAAGGCUGAAACUUAAAGGAAUUGGCGGGGGAGCACCACAAGGCGUGAAGCUUGCGGUUCAAUUGGAUUCAACGCCGGA
Molecule: ribosomal RNA, 942 nt
Filed under: uncultured archaeon
Lineage: Archaea
Description: bacterial SSU rRNA
Rfam family: Archaeal small subunit ribosomal RNA
Source: RNAcentral